This 363-nucleotide unclassified non-coding RNA is filed under the name Bacillus thuringiensis serovar israelensis. RNAcentral describes it as "cspA". The record is from RNAcentral. Lineage: Bacteria; Bacillati; Bacillota; Bacilli; Caryophanales; Bacillaceae.
AAAUGAAUUAUUUUUGUUCGGUGUAAAGGAUUUGUAACUUUUCACCUUUAUGAUCACUGAGAGCAAGGAUAGUAUUACAUUGUGUGUGUUUACACACUAGGAGGCAAUACAAAUGGAAAAAGGUAAUGUAAAAUGGUUUAAUGGCGAAAAAGGCUUCGGAUUCAUCGAACGUGAAGGUGGAGACGAUGUAUUCGUUCAUUUCUCAGCGAUUCAAGGCGAAGGUUACAAAACUUUAGAAGAAGGUCAAGCAGUGACUUUUGAUUUAGAGCAAGGUCAACGUGGACCUCAAGCUUCAAACGUACGUAAAGCUUCUUAAUUUUACAAACCAGGGAAGGCAGGCUCUUUUAUGAGAGUCUGCUUUUU